This 494-nucleotide ribosomal RNA is filed under the name uncultured bacterium. Its description in RNAcentral is "bacterial SSU rRNA". It matches the Rfam family "Bacterial small subunit ribosomal RNA", at positions 28 to 507 of the family's 1533-position model. The record is from RNAcentral.
GAUGAACGCUAGGCUACAGGCUUUAACACAUGCAAGUCGCGGGGUAACAUCUGGUAGAGCUUUGCUCUUCCAGGAUGACGACCGGCGCACGGGUGAGUAACGCGUAUCCAACCUGGCCCAUACCACGGGAUAGCCCGUCGAAAGGCGGAUUAAUACCGUAUGCUGUCAUUAAGAGGCAUUUUUUGAUGACGAAAGGACUGGCGGUAUGGGAUGGGGAUGCGUCUGAUUAGCUUGUUGGCGGGGUAACGGCCCACCAAGGCGACGAUCAGUAGGGGUUCUGAGAGGAAGGUCCCCCACAUUGGAACUGAGACACGGUCCAAACUCCUACGGGAGGCAGCAGUGAGGAAUAUUGGUCAAUGGGCGAGAGCCUGAACCAGCCAAGUAGCGUGCGGGACGACGGCCCUAUGGGUUGUAAACUGCUUUUAUAAGGGAAUAAAGUUAGUCUCGUGAGACUUUUGCAUGUACCUUAUGAAUAAGGACCGGCUAAUUCCGUG